AGUGAACGCUGGCGGUAGGCCUAACACAUGCAAGUCGAACGGCAGCACAGUAAGAGCUUGCUCUUACGGGUGGCGAGUGGCGGACGGGUGAGGAAUACAUCUGAAUCUACUUUUUCGUGGGGGAUAACGUAGGGAAACUUACGCUAAUACCGCAUACGACCUACGGGUGAAAGCAGGGGAUCUUCGGACCUUGCGCGAUUGAAUGAGCCGAUGUCGGAUUAGCUAGUUGGCGGGGUAAAGGCCCACCAAGGCGACGAUCCGUAGCUGGUCUGAGAGGAUGAUCAGCCACACUGGAACUGAGACACGGUCCAGACUCCUACGGGAGGCAGCAGAGGGGAAUAUUGGACAAUGGGCGCAAGCCUGAUCCAGCCAUACCGCGUGGGUGAAGAAGGCCUUCGGGUUGUAAAGCCCUUUUGUUGGGAAAGAAAAGCAGCAGGUUAAUACCCCGCUGUUCUGACGGUACCCAAAGAAUAAGCACCGGCUAACUUCGUG
RNAcentral lists this ribosomal RNA (492 nucleotides) under uncultured bacterium. Its description in RNAcentral is "partial 16S ribosomal RNA". It matches the Rfam family "Bacterial small subunit ribosomal RNA", at positions 29 to 507 of the family's 1533-position model. The record is from RNAcentral.